Molecule: ribosomal RNA, 1483 nt
Filed under: uncultured bacterium
Lineage: Bacteria
Description: bacterial SSU rRNA
Rfam family: Bacterial small subunit ribosomal RNA
Source: RNAcentral
AGAGUUUGAUCCUGGCUCAGAUUGAACGCUGGCGGCAGGCCUAACACAUGCAAGUCGAGCGGUAGCACAGAGAGCUUGCUCUCGGGUGACGAGCGGCGGACGGGUGAGUAAUGUCUGGGAAACUGCCUGAUGGAGGGGGAUAACUACUGGAAACGGUAGCUAAUACCGCAUAAUGUCGCAAGACCAAAGUGGGGGACCUUCGGGCCUCAUGCCAUCAGAUGUGCCCAGAUGGGAUUAGCUAGUAGGUGGGGUAACGGCUCACCUAGGCGACGAUCCCUAGCUGGUCUGAGAGGAUGACCAGCCACACUGGAACUGAGACACGGUCCAGACUCCUACGGGAGGCAGCAGUGGGGAAUAUUGCACAAUGGGCGCAAGCCUGAUGCAGCCAUGCCGCGUGUGUGAAGAAGGCCUUCGGGUUAUAAAGCACUUUCAGCGGGGAGGAAGGCGGUGAGGUUAAUAACCUCAUCGAUUGACGUUACCCGCAGAAGAAGCACCGGCUAACUCCGUGCCAGCAGCCGCGGUAAUACGGAGGGUGCAAGCGUUAAUCGGAAUUACUGGGCGUAAAGCGCACGCAGGCGGUCUGUCAAGUCGGAUGUGAAAUCCCCGGGCUUAACCUGGGAACUGCAUUCGAAACUGGCAGGCUAGAGUCUUGUAGAGGGGGGUAGAAUUCCAGGUGUAGCGGUGAAAUGCGUGGAGAUCUGGAGGAAUACCGGUGGCGAAGGCGGCCCCCUGGACAAAGACUGACGCUCAGGUGCGAAAGCGUGGGGAGCAAACAGGAUUAGAUACCCUGGUAGUCCACGCCGUAAACGAUGUCGAUUUGGAGGUUGUGCCCUUGAGGCGUGGCUUCCGGAGCUAACGCGUUAAAUCGACCGCCUGGGGAGUACGGCCGCAAGGUUAAAACUCAAAUGAAUUGACGGGGGCCCGCACAAGCGGUGGAGCAUGUGGUUUAAUUCGAUGCAACGCGAAGAACCUUACCUGGUCUUGACAUCCACAGAACUUUCCAGAGAUGGAUUGGUGCCUUCGGGAACUGUGAGACAGGUGCUGCAUGGCUGUCGUCAGCUCGUGUUGUGAAAUGUUGGGUUAAGUCCCGCAACGAGCGCAACCCUUAUCCUUUGUUGCCAGCGGUCCGGCCGGGAACUCAAAGGAGACUGCCAGUGAUAAACUGGAGGAAGGUGGGGAUGACGUCAAGUCAUCAUGGCCCUUACGACCAGGGCUACACACGUGCUACAAUGGCAUAUACAAAGAGAAGCGACCUCGCGAGAGCAAGCGGACCUCAUAAAGUAUGUCGUAGUCCGGAUUGGAGUCUGCAACUCGACUCCAUGAAGUCGGAAUCGCUAGUAAUCGUAGAUCAGAAUGCUACGGUGAAUACGUUCCCGGGCCUUGUACACACCGCCCGUCACACCAUGGGAGUGGGUUGCAAAAGAAGUAGGUAGCUUAACCUUCGGGAGGGCGCUUACCACUUUGUGAUUCAUGACUGGGGUGA